UGGGGAAAUAUUGCACAAUGGGCGAAAGCCUGAUGCAGCAACGCCGCGUGAGGGACGACGGCCUUCGGGUUGUAAACCUCUUUUAGCAAGGAAGAAGCGAAAGUGACGGUACUUGCAGAAAAAGCGCCGGCUAACUACGUGCCAGCAGCCGCGGUAAUACGUAGGGCGCAAGCGUUAUCCGGAAUUAUUGGGCGUAAAGAGCUCGUAGGCGGUUUGUCGCGUCUGCUGUGAAAACCCGAGGCUCAACCUCGGGCCUGCAGUGGGUACGGGCAGACUAGAGUGCGGUAGGGGAGAUUGGAACUCCUGGUGUAGCGGUGGAAUGCGCAGAUAUCAGGAAGAACACCGAUGGCGAAGGCAGAUCUCUGGGCCGUAACUGACGCUGAGGAGCGAAAGGGUGGGGAGCAAAACAGGCUUAGAAUACCCUGGUAGUCCACCCCGUAAACGUUGGGAACUAGUUGUGGGGUCCAUUCCACGGAUUCCGUGACGCAGCUAACGCAUUAAGUUCCCCGCCUGGGGAGUACGGCCGCAAGG
RNAcentral lists this ribosomal RNA (531 nucleotides) under uncultured bacterium. RNAcentral's name for it is "partial 16S ribosomal RNA". It matches the Rfam family "Bacterial small subunit ribosomal RNA", at positions 354 to 893 of the family's 1533-position model. The record is from RNAcentral.